RNAcentral lists this ribosomal RNA (396 nucleotides) under Triticum aestivum (bread wheat). RNAcentral describes it as "partial small subunit ribosomal RNA". The record is from RNAcentral. Lineage: Eukaryota; Viridiplantae; Streptophyta; Magnoliopsida; Poales; Poaceae.
AUGACGAGAGUGAAGAAUAGUUACUAUGUACUUCCAGGAGAACCUGAACCGAAGUGCACCGUGUCAAACACUCACAACAUUGGGAAGGUAAUGUUCCUAACAGCUGUUGCCAGGCCUCGAUAUAACAAUGAGGGGGAGCUAACAUUCGAUGGGAAGAUCGGCAUUUGGGCAUUCAUCGAAGAGAGUGAGGCGAAGCGGACAAGUCAGAACAGAACAAAGGGAACAAAAGUGUUGACAUCAGUGAAAGUAACUAGGCCUGUGUGCAGAGAUUAUCUAAUCAAUAAGGUUAUCCCGACAAUUCAGGAUAAGUGGCCUGACGAUGAUGAGGGAGCAACAAUAUUCAUCCAACAGGAUAACGCAAAGCCUCAUGUCCUUCCCAAUGAUGUAGCUUUUUGA